ACACCCGCUUUUGUCUUUCAGGUUGAGAGUUCUUCGGUGGUUCCUGUAAUAGGACUUGAGUUUGGCAUGGCCCCUCCUGCCUGCAGGGCCACCCCCAAAGACUCCUUACCCGGACAUGGACAUGGACAUGGACAUGGGCAUGGACAUGGGCAUGGGUCCCGCCGUAGCUGGACAACAGUAACAUUGGGCCACCCCCAAAGACUCCUUACCCGGACAUGGACAUGGACAUGGACAUGGGCAUGGACAUGGGCAUGGGUCCCGCCGUAGCUGGACAACAGUAACAUUGGGGCCUCAUCAAGGUCAAAGCGGUUACGGAGGCCAGCACGGAGGGGCCGCAAUCACUACAGCAGUAUCUGGGGCCUCGGUCAACAAGCCAUUUAUCAACUUCCCAGCUCUGUGGAGGAGUAUCGCCGCCAUCAUGCCCUAAACUGAUGCCCAGGCAACAGAACGCCCCUGUUGUCACACCAGCUGAAGCGACCCAGCAGAGCUGGGGCUUGGGGAGAGCUGCCUGGGUGCCCUAAGAGGGCUGCUUUGAGCUUUGUGAAUAAAAUUGACACACGAUCCCUUUUCA
Molecule: long non-coding RNA, 571 nt
Organism: Rattus rattus (black rat)
Lineage: Eukaryota; Metazoa; Chordata; Mammalia; Rodentia; Muridae
Exons: 6
Source: RefSeq, a predicted model, not a curated record